This 2821-nucleotide long non-coding RNA is filed under the name Chloebia gouldiae (Gouldian finch). RNAcentral describes it as "Erythrura gouldiae (Gouldian finch) lncRNA (ENSEGOG00005005193.1)". Lineage: Eukaryota; Metazoa; Chordata; Aves; Passeriformes; Passeridae. The record is from RNAcentral.
AUGCAAAACAAGUUAAGCAAGCAUACCACAGUCUACUUCAGUGAACAAACUAACUCCCACCUAUCUCAGCUGGGAAUGCGGCGCGAGCUUUAUUCCGUGAAACACGACCCCAGAGAGCCUCAAGUCCCGGGACAAACUCGUCCCACACAGCAGCUGAGCAUUUAUUGUGGAGGAUAUUUUGGAGGGGAUCGUGCCUUUUCUUUUUUGCUGCCUUCCCUGCCCCGGCCCCGAGGGGGGAGGCGGCCCCGGCUGUGGCGGGCGGCGGUGCUGCCGCCUUGUGGGCAGAAAGAGGUACUGCAGCCCCCCACCAAGGGCCUCACGUGGCCGCCAUCUUGGGAGUGGCUUGUCACGGACUCGCUUGACCUUUCCAACAUGACGGCAAAAAAAAAAAAAAAAAAAGAGCGGGAAAAUCGAGGCGCUUGCUCUGCGUGUUGCCCUGCCGGCACGCCACACAAACGCCGGCACCGCCCCGCCGCGAUUUCCUGCGGCCAUUCCAGUACUUCACGCAUGGGCUGUUGCUUCAGUCGCGCCGCGGGUCUGCGGGUUUCAGGCGGGCGCCGACAGGCAUCGGCAGAUUCGCCUCUCUGUGCCCAGGUCCUGCAGUGGCCGCCAUCCUGGGCAUGCCCUGUGCCUCUGCCGUGCCGCGCGGGGCGCCCGUCCCGUCCCCUCUCAUCCCCUCCCGCCCUGUCCCACGGCCUCCCUGCCAUACAGGUCCGUGCUGAAGAGUGGGAGACAGGUCCCCACUGGUUGCCGUGUCCUUGGUGGGCAGAGAACUCUGACCUCGGCCAGAUGGGCUGUUGCUGUAUGUCUUGGAUGCAAUGCAGAACUGAAUCAGACAGCCCAGCCUCAGGUUCACCUUCUCCCUGACAAUCUACGCUGCUCAUGUGGCACAGCAAAUCCUGAAGCCAGUAUUUGGACCUGAGGAAGGUACCGGGUUUUUUCCAGCUUUUCUACAGUUUUGAUUUUGAGGUAAGAGUCCCAUUUUAGGUAUCCAGUAAUUCUUCAGGAAUGUAUUAAAAACAGCUGUAAAAAUACAAUGAAACCUCAUUCUCCCACAGGUAGUUAAUUAGAAGCAUCUUUCUUAUGUUUCAUAUUGGAAUUAAAAAUGGUAUUUCCAUGGGGUUUUUGUUGUUUUCUUAAUACUAACGCACAAUGAGUUGUGCUGUGUAUGCUCUGUGAGCACAAGAAACAGAAUAUUCUGCCCUGGCUAGCUACAAUUCCUCUUUGAGUUUAGAUUAGUAACACUGAGUUCAACUUAAGUAUUUUAGAAACAGCAACUUCUAAAAUUCCAUUUCCAGUGCAUGUUUGGGCUGCAGACUGAUAUUCCCAAUGGCUGUUAGUGACUAAAUUUGAUAGGAGUGGAAAUGGAGAAGUCCAGAACAAGCUGUGAUAAGCCCUGAGCUGGCACUCAGAGGGAACCAGGGUUUUGUGCUCUUAGGAGCAGUUAUUCUUUGGAAAUGUCUAAAUGUCUGAUAGUGGUAUUUUUCUUUGGCUUCCAGUCCAAAACAGAGCAUGAGUGGAUCCUCAGAUUUCUUGGGGAAGGGCUGCGUGACAAACAUUGCUAUGAGCUUUAUGACUACCAGAGGAUUUUCCAGAUCAUUCUUUCCUUUUUUAACAGUCCUUUGUGUGACGAGGGCUCCCAGGUAAGAAUUUGAAAGGAAAGUUCCAAAAAACCCCAAACCACAGAAGCUUGCAUGGCUUUGAAAUCUCAAGUACCAAACAGAAAGGAGCAGCUGACUCUGUCUUGGUCCUCUUGAAAAUCUGUUCCUUGUCAGUUUUGUGUAUGUGUGGAGGGGGAAAUAAUUGCUUGUGUCUAAACCAGUCCCAUCCUUAUCCCCUGAAACUGGAACAGGUUUCUGCCAUCAUGGAGCCUCACAUGGGUGCCGUAGUUUUGCUCCUGCAGUCGGGGCCUUUUCAUUUUGGCAUCUCUAUUCCCCAGCCAGCACAUUUGUUACCUGAACAGUGCUUCAGCAGGAGGGUAACUCACAUGCCAGAAGCUCUCAGGUUUGGGAGCAUCCACCCUGAGUAUUUCAAGUGUCAAAACCUUGGACAAAAAGAGAAAAUUGUCUUGCUACCUGAAUACUUCUUGUAAGAGCAGCACCUGUAGUAUGAAGCGUUGAAGGGAGAAUGUCUUUCCUUCUCUGGAGUUGCUGAGAACAGUGGUGUUCAUUUUACCUGGAAGUUGAUCAGAUACCAGACAAAUUGCUAAUUUUAAGUUAGAUCAUGAGAUCUCAAUCUCUCUCAUUUUAUUCUCUCUUUCUCUCUCUCCCUCCCUCCCACUCCUGUUUUAUUCUCUCUCUCCUUCCCUCUCCUGUUUUUUUCUCUCUUUCUCUCCCUCCCUCUCUUUCCCUCUCUCCCUCCCUUUCCCUCGGGGUUGCAGUCUCCUUCUCUUUCAAACUCCCGAACCACCAGCCAGAUUUCCCCCCUUGGACCUGUCAUUUCACCCUGAAGUUCGGAACCUCAGCCUUGUGCUGGUCUCUUUCAGGACCCAGACUGCCUGGGCUCUGCAACAAAUCUGCCUCAAAACAAUAGAGACACUAAAACCCAUUCCAAAGGUUCACACCCACAGCUUCCCCCCUCAAACUGUUUGUAAAGACAUGAGCUAUCCUCUCAGAAUCUUCAGCUGCCUUUGGUUUUAUUUUUUUACCAUUGUACCAUUUCAUUUUCAUAUUGAAGUGAAGGAAUCUAUUUCCCCAUUGCCAGGCAAAGAGAGCUUCAGUAUUUUUAUAAUGCUCCUUUCUGAUUCAGUCUUGGUUUUUACAUUCUGCUUGGGGUUUUGCUAGAUAAUAAAGUGGGUCUGAUUCCUUGGGAAAUAAAAUAU